CAUCCAAGCAUCUAACAGAAAUUUCCGAGACAGAAGAUAAGCUUUAACAAGCUGAGUCUUACAAAAAAUAAAUAAAUAAACCCUAUAAAAGCCUGUACGAGGUCAGGAGAUGACUUCUGCCAAAUGUGAAAUUAAUAUAAACACAUAAGGAUUUUCCUUUUGUUUUUGUUUAAAAAAUUCUGGCCUGAACCCUGCUUAUUCAGAUAAAAUUUUCAUUACAUUUCUAUAGUGCUUAUAAAGAGCUGCGAAGUGAGAGAACAUUCAUACCAUGCUAUUUCUCCUGUCCAGAGGUACUUAAGAGCUCUCACUUUCUUUUCUACUUAGACUUCAUGCUUUAUGCCUUAAAAGGGAAAUAGCAAAAAUAAGGAGUCUAAAAAUUUCAUGCGUUUAAAUAAGCAUCCAGGCUAAUCCCCACAAGACUGCUCUUUUUUGUUUUUCACUUAGGUUCUGUCCACAAAUUUGCCCUAAAUCAAUCAUGUUAAACGGCAGUUCUCUUAACGCUGGGUCACUGGCCAAACCAUGUUAAAAUCUGGUUUUCCUAGAACAUUGCUUAGGGUGAGCUUAAAGAGUUUCCAGACUUGGUUCCUUUUCUAGUGUGAAAAAAGAGGAAUGAAAACCCACAAAAACAGUAAGGAUGUCUUCUGCACUACCGGCUUAAUUUCCAGACAGUUACGGAACAACUCAUUGGUGGGUGGUGCAGUUUAGUGGUAUGAUGGCAUCCAGACUGUCUCAGCCAAUCACCAGAUAGUUGGUUUUCAUUCAUAUACAUCCUGUAAUUCCACUGGUUAAGUAAACAGAACCCAAUACAUGGCACACGUAUACUGGUUAGCUGAAUUCAGACCACAUCAGCACUGAGAAAACUGAUGAUUUUGAAAGAGGAGGGAAAAAUAACAUAGCCGUUCCUUCCCCAACCUAGGCUUCCUCCUGACAAGACAGUGAUAAAAAUGGCUGGCCCAAUCUUUAACAUCAAUCGCAAAAGGGCAGGGGGGCUGUGUGUGGUCAAAACACUGAAGCCUUUCUCUCAGCUGCUGAUCACAGACGAAGAACUGGUGGAGAGUGAGAAGAAAUUUACUGAGAGGCUAGGCCACAAGUGAAUUGCUGCCCACAAGCAACAAGGAGGAAGCAGGAAAGGAAUUGUGGUUUAAAAGAACUGGAAGCUGACUCUCCUACACCGAGAAGACGUGGUAGACCAGUGUGGCUUGAUCAACGAAAAACAGCACUUCUUCAGCCUCACUGGUUUCUGCAGAAUUGAGAACUUCAUCUAUAGUUCAAGAAAAAAGUUUAUGACCUGAUGACCAGGGAUCCGGGUUUUCCAUUUCCUUCAGAGAGACGUGGAUUUUCCCCUUUAAAGGAGAAAAAUGAGGAUUUUCCCCUCUGAAGCGGGGAACUGUAGGUUUCCCCUUUAGCAAACAGCUUUCCACAGGCUGGCAGAGUCCCAGCCCGCAACAAGCUGCUUGCAAAAAGGGUACAAAAUCCUAAAACCUUUCUGCUAGAGAGAGGGGAGAGAAAGGGGGAGGAGGAGAAGGAGGGGAUUAAGCAGGGGUGGGCAAAAUGUGCCCCAUGGGCUUGAUCCAGCCCACCAGG
Molecule: long non-coding RNA, 1584 nt
Organism: Alligator sinensis (Chinese alligator)
Lineage: Eukaryota; Metazoa; Chordata; Crocodylia; Alligatoridae
Exons: 3
Source: RefSeq, a predicted model, not a curated record